ACGUCUACGAGUUUGAUCAUGGCUCAGGAUUAACGCUAGCGGCAGGCCUAAUACAUGCAAGUCGAGGGGCAGCGCGAUGUAGCAAUACAUUGGCGGCGACCGGCGCACGGGUGCGUAACACGUAUGGAACUUACCCUUUACUGGGAGAUAGCCCGGAGAAAUCCGGAUUAAUAUCCCAUAAUAAACGAAGUGGCAUCACUUUGUUUUGAAAGCUCCGGCGGUAAAGGAUGGCCAUGCGCACGAUUAGCUAGUAGGUGAGGUAACGGCUCACCUAGGCUACGAUCGUUAGGGGGCCUGAGAGGGUUAUCCCCCACACUGGUACUGAGACACGGACCAGAUUCCUACGGGAGGCAGCAGUGAGGAAUAUUGCGCAAUGGAGGCAACUCUGACGCAGCCAUGCCGCGUGCAGGAAGAAGGCGCUACGCGUUGUAAACUGCUUUUAACCGGGAAGAAACCCUCCGACGUGUCGGAGGUUGACGGUACCGGAGGAAUAAGCACCGGCUAACUUCGUG
RNAcentral lists this ribosomal RNA (512 nucleotides) under uncultured bacterium. RNAcentral describes it as "bacterial SSU rRNA". It matches the Rfam family "Bacterial small subunit ribosomal RNA", at positions 1 to 507 of the family's 1533-position model. The record is from RNAcentral.